This 864-nucleotide ribosomal RNA is filed under the name uncultured bacterium. Its description in RNAcentral is "bacterial SSU rRNA". It matches the Rfam family "Bacterial small subunit ribosomal RNA", at positions 60 to 965 of the family's 1533-position model. The record is from RNAcentral.
AGUCGACGGGANUCCUUCGGAUUCUAGUGGCGGACGGGUGAGUAACGCGUAAGAAUCUAACUUCAGGACGGGGACAACAGUUGGAAACGACUGCUAAUACCCGAUGUGCCGAAAGGUGAAACCUAAUUGGCCUGGAGAAGAGCUUGCGUCUGAUUAGCUAGUUGGUGGGGUAAGAGCCUACCAAGGCGACGAUCAGUAGCUGGUCUGAGAGGAUGAGCAGCCACACUGGGACUGAGACACGGCCCAGACUCCUACGGGAGGCAGCAGUGGGGAAUUUUCCGCAAUGGGCGAAAGCCUGACGGAGCAACGCCGCGUGAGGGAGGAAGGUCUUUGGAUUGUAAACCUCUUUUCUCAAGGAAGAAGUUCUGACGGUACUUGAGGAAUCAGCCUCGGCUAACUCCGUGCCAGCAGCCGCGGUAAUACGGGGGAGGCAAGCGUUAUCCGGAAUUAUUGGGCGUAAAGCGUCCGCAGGUGGUCAGCCAAGUCUGCCGUCAAAUCAGGUUGCUUAACGACCUAAAGGCGGUGGAAACUGGCAGACUAGAGAGCAGUAGGGGUAGCAGGAAUUCCCAGUGUAGCGGUGAAAUGCGUAGAGAUUGGGAAGAACAUCGGUGGCGAAAGCGUGCUACUGGGCUGUAUCUGACACUCAGGGACGAAAGCUAGGGGAGCGAAAGGGAUUAGAUACCCCCUGUAGUCCUAGCCGUAAACGAUGGAUACUAGGCGUGGCUUGUAUCGACCCGAGCCGUGCCGAAGCUAACGCGUUAAGUAUCCCGCCUGGGGAGUACGCAUGCAAGUGUGAAACUCAAAGGAAUUGACGGGGGCCCGCACAGCGGUGGANNNNNNNNNUUUAAUUCGAUGCAACGCGAA